AGUGAACGCUGGCGGUAGGCCUAACACAUGCAAGUCGAACGGCAGCACAGUAAGAGCUUGCUCUUACGGGUGGCGAGUGGCGGACGGGUGAGGAAUACAUCGGAAUCUACUUUUUCGUGGGGGAUAACGUAGGGAAACUUACGCUAAUACCGCAUACGACCUACGGGUGAAAGCAGGGGAUCUUCGGACCUUGCGCGAUUGAAUGAGCCGAUGUCGGAUUAGCUAGUUGGCGGGGUAAAGGCCCACCAAGGCGACGAUCCGUAGCUGGUCUGAGAGGAUGAUCAGCCACACUGGAACUGAGACACGGGCCAGACUCCUACGGGAGGCAGCAGUGGGGAAUAUUGGACAAUGGGCGCAAGCCUUAUCCAGCCAUACCGCGUGGGUGAAGAAGGCCUUCGGGUUUUAAAGCCCUUUUGUUGGGAAAGAAAAGCAGCAGGUUAAUACCCCGCUGUUCUGACGGUACCCAAAGAAUAAGCACCGGCUAACUUCGUG
This 492-nucleotide ribosomal RNA is filed under the name uncultured bacterium. RNAcentral describes it as "partial 16S ribosomal RNA". It matches the Rfam family "Bacterial small subunit ribosomal RNA", at positions 29 to 507 of the family's 1533-position model. The record is from RNAcentral.